RNAcentral lists this ribosomal RNA (389 nucleotides) under Plantibacter sp. CFBP 8775. RNAcentral describes it as "bacterial SSU rRNA". It matches the Rfam family "Bacterial small subunit ribosomal RNA", at positions 1146 to 1533 of the family's 1533-position model. Lineage: Bacteria; Bacillati; Actinomycetota; Actinomycetes; Micrococcales; Microbacteriaceae. The record is from RNAcentral.
AUACUGCCGGGGUCAACUCGGAGGAAGGUGGGGACGACGUCAAAUCAUCAUGCCCCUUAUGUCUUGGGCUUCACGCAUGCUACAAUGGCCAGUACAAAGGGCUGCAAUACCGUAAGGUGGAGCGAAUCCCAAAAAGCUGGUCCCAGUUCGGAUUGAGGUCUGCAACUCGACCUCAUGAAGUCGGAGUCGCUAGUAAUCGCAGAUCAGCAACGCUGCGGUGAAUACGUUCCCGGGCCUUGUACACACCGCCCGUCAAGUCAUGAAAGUCGGUAACACCCGAAGCCAGUGGCCUAACCGCAAGGAUGGAGCUGUCUAAGGUGGGAUCGGUAAUUAGGACUAAGUCGUAACAAGGUAGCCGUACCGGAAGGUGCGGCUGGAUCACCUCCUUU